This is a long non-coding RNA of Durio zibethinus, 668 nucleotides long. RefSeq lists it as uncharacterized. The record is from RefSeq and is a predicted model, not a curated record. Lineage: Eukaryota; Viridiplantae; Streptophyta; Magnoliopsida; Malvales; Malvaceae.
UCUGAAACGGAAGAGACCUGGGUGUCCCGGGAGUCUGAUAAAGUGCCUGAUAACUCGGGCAGGAGACGUGAGUCAAACUGGACCGACCCAGUUGAGUUUGCAUAGCCGAUUUGACUGGUGGUUAAGUUGCUGAUACUUUCCAUGUAGGUGGUGCUUGAGGGUUGACCUGAGGGGAACUCGGAUGUAGCACGGAUCCGUUCCAUUAAACGGGGAAUCCAAACGUAACGCAUGGUGUCCCUGAAUUCUUUACCGUUAACAUCACAUUUAAGCUGCUUUGCCUUCUUCUGGACUCUUGUUCUCCAAUAGUUCUUUAUUUCAUUAUCUGUUCUUCCAGGAAUGAGGAAAGCAAUAUGGGAGUCAAGCAAAAACCUGUUGCCCCAGAGAGAAUGGAGUUCAAGAAUCAACAGCUGCUCUUCGAGGCUGAUGCUUCCUCGUCUGACUUCUGGUCGCAAGUAGUUUAGCCAUCUUAAUCUGCAGCUUUUGCCGGUUCUUUUUAAUCCUGUAGAAAUUUAUGUCAUAUCAGUAUCACAAAAAAUAUGUUCAAAAUAGAUGCAUACAAGCUGAAAAUUCUUAGGUUUCAUCGAUUUUCAGUGAAGCAGACAUGUUUCAUGGAAGAAAUUAUUAACCUGAUAAGCGAGCAACAGAGUUCCAGCGACCUUCACCAUGAA